Molecule: ribosomal RNA, 519 nt
Filed under: uncultured bacterium
Lineage: Bacteria
Description: partial 16S ribosomal RNA
Rfam family: Bacterial small subunit ribosomal RNA
Source: RNAcentral
AACAAACGCUGGCGGCGUGCCUAACACAUGCAAGUCGUACGAGAAAGGGUCUUUCGGGACCUGAGUAAAGUGGCGCACGGGUGAGUAACGCGUGGAUAAUCUGCCCUUCAGUUGGGAAUAACUCAUCGAAAGGUGGGCUAAUACCGAAUAACGCUGUGAGACUUUGGUCGAUCAGCCAAAGAGAGCCUCUGCUUGCAUGCCCUCGCUGAAGGAUGAGUCCGCGUACCAUUAGCUAGUUGGUAGGGUAAUGGCCUACCAAGGCGACGAUGGUUAGCUGGUCUGAGAGGAUGAUCAGCCACACUGGAACUGAGACACGGUCCAGACUCCUACGGGAGGCAGCAGUGAGGAAUCUUGCGCAAUGGGGGCAACCCUGACGCAGCAACGCCGCGUGAGUGAGGAAGGUCUUCGGAUCGUAAAGCUCUGUCGGAUGGAAAGAACCGCAUGGGGGUAAAUAGCCCCUGUGUCUGACGGUACCAUCAGAGGAAGCACCGGCUAACUCCGUGCCAGCAGCCGCAGUAA